Long non-coding RNA from Ictalurus punctatus (channel catfish), 1832 nucleotides. RefSeq lists it as uncharacterized. The transcript has 4 exons. Lineage: Eukaryota; Metazoa; Chordata; Actinopteri; Siluriformes; Ictaluridae. The record is from RefSeq and is a predicted model, not a curated record.
GGGGAAAAAUAAGAAAUGCGGCAUGAUGACUAAAGGGGUGCUUGUCUGUGCGUAAGAGAAAAAGACGUUGUUAUGGAGUGACCUCGGCAUGGGAAAGAGGAACAUGUAUAUUUACAGAAAGAGACGAGGAUGAAAUCGAAAGAUGAGUACAGAGAGUCUAGUUCCAAAGUGAGAAGCAGAGAAGGGGUUGAAUGGGGGCGUGAGUGUUUUGGAGAGAGUGUAACCUGAGAAGUAUGUUUACCAUGCACAGGGACAUGUGCUCUAGGAAGAAGGUUUCCAAGAAGACAUCUUUCCCCAGUGACUUUGUAUUUAGUGUAAUCUUACCGUGUAUGUCUGGCCAAAGGCAAUGUUGAUGAUGCAUGUAGCUCCCUGUUUCUAUAUUUGUGUUAGUGUGUGUAUUUGCGUGACGUGUUAUACGUUCUGUUGCAGUUUAGAUUCAGAUCCAUCUGCUACACUCCUGUUCCUUUUUAGCUUGUGGGUGUGUGGGUGCGAGUGAUUUUGUUUAUGAGUUGAAGGAAAAGUAAUCAGUGUUGAGUGGUGAUUUGGCCACAUGCAAAGUGGAUAUUUUCCCAGCCUGUCCACAAGUGUUUUAUUCCUGUUAUACCACAGGAAUAUGCCAACAGAUGGGGGCUCUUCUUAUUGCCCUUGUUCCUGUACAUCAGUAACAGCGUCUCCAGACCCCUCACCACAGCCUCAACAGGAACGGUGACAGGCCUGCAUAUCCUAAGUUUAACAUCUUUGGUGCAGCUAUAACAACCUUGACCUGAAAUAACUAAAGACCGUGGAGUUUACAAAACACUGAGUGGGCGCGGCACACCUCCUUCACAUAUGACUGGAACCUAAUAUUGAUUUCACUGCGAAAAAGCCGAGAACGCCAGACGUGCCUUAGGAGCAGAUCUACAAAACCACCAAAUAUGAGCACUCUCAGUUAAGAAGCAGUGGGAAAUAUCAUCGCUGACCCUCACACCUUGGACACCGCAUAUUUGAAGUGUUUCCCUCUAGCAGAUGCUUUAAAAUGAUGUGCACACAAAAAAAUGACCAGACUCAUGAAUGUGUAAUCCGCCCGCACAUGUAAUGUCAAUCUGCAGUAGUUUGUAUAUGGGUCAAGAGCAAAAAUGAUUUUUGUAAAACAGGUUAAUUAGAUAACGUAAAUUAGUUUAAUUAAGCUGUUUAAAAAUUAUUUUUAUCUUUGACGCAUAUAUUAAUACUCAUCCAGCUAUUACUAUUACUGUCAACAACUAUCCAGCUAUUACUGUUUUUUUUUAUUAUUAAACUAAAAUAAAAUAAGCAUUAUUCUUGUUACAAGUUUUGCUGAUACUUUUUUGUGACUUCAUUUUUUAAAUUAGUGUUAUAAAUAUAUAUUAGAUAAUUAUUCUGAAUGACAAUUUUGCAUUGUACAUUGUAAAUUGCAUUGUUUCUGGCAUAAUAUACACAAUUUGGAAAAAAAAAAUAAUUAUGAGACAAGAGACAAUUAAGAGUUAUAAGAUAUGCAGCAUUUACGGUAGGCAUAUUAAUGAUCCUACAUUAAGUUUUUACUUUAAGGAAUUAUUUUUGUCUUUGACCCAUAUAUGGUAUAAACAAAAUAAAAGUAAAAACAAAAAAAUAAGAAUAAAAUAAAAUCAUUUUUCUUGUAAUAAGUCAAGAGAAUUUCUCUGUAGGCUUUGCUGAAUGGAUGCUGAGUAAACAAAUCAUGGGAGAUGAGGUUAUGUUUAAUUAUUCAGCAAACCAUUCAAAGUAGGACUAUUAAAAACAACUAGAGUACAUGCAGUAUAAUCAAUGAGACACAAAUCAUUAAACUUGAACCGCAGGAUAUUUGGUAUGUUUUGAAUAAU